This 251-nucleotide long non-coding RNA is filed under the name Lathyrus oleraceus (garden pea). RNAcentral describes it as "Pisum sativum (pea) long non-coding RNA (PSAT_LNC015617)". Lineage: Eukaryota; Viridiplantae; Streptophyta; Magnoliopsida; Fabales; Fabaceae. The record is from RNAcentral.
UAAGACGGUAUAGAUGGUCUUAAUUGCAUAUGUGUUGGUAUGUGUGCAUUCAUUCAUAGCAUGGUUGACUUCAUUGUGGAAGUGGUGAAACUGUGGGUUCACAUGAGCAGACGUUGAUUCUCAAUUGGAAUCAGGCGUAGUAUUAAGCGGUGAUCCUUCAUUGGAAACAGACGUAGCAGACGUUAAUCCUUAAUUGGGAUUAGGCGUAGUAUUAAGCGGUGAUCCUUCAUUGGAAACAGACGUAGGGCUUU